RNAcentral lists this ribosomal RNA (301 nucleotides) under uncultured bacterium. RNAcentral's name for it is "partial 16S ribosomal RNA". It matches the Rfam family "Bacterial small subunit ribosomal RNA", at positions 509 to 807 of the family's 1533-position model. The record is from RNAcentral.
CAGCCGCCGCGGUAAUACAGAGGGUGCAAGCGUUAAUCGGAAUUACUGGGCGUAAAGCGCGCGUAGGUGGUUUGUUAAGUUGGAUGUGAAAGCCCCGGGCUCAACCUGGGAACUGCAUCCAAAACUGGCAAGCUAGAGUACGGUAGAGGGUGGUGGAAUUUCCUGUGUAGCGGUGAAAUGCGUAGAUAUAGGAAGGAACACCAGUGGCGAAGGCGACCACCUGGACUGAUACUGACACUGAGGUGCGAAAGCGUGGGGAGCAAACAGGAUUAGAUACCCCGGUAGUCCCUGUCUCUUAUAC